UCCAGGGUAGCCUAGUGGACAUGGCAUCUGCCCGGUAAGCGGAGCAUUGUGGGUUCGUUUCCCAUCCCUGGCC
Molecule: non-coding RNA, 73 nt
Organism: Cordylochernes scorpioides
Lineage: Eukaryota; Metazoa; Arthropoda; Arachnida; Pseudoscorpiones; Chernetidae
Source: the annotation of a GenBank genome assembly